Alligator mississippiensis (American alligator) is the source of this 10794-nucleotide long non-coding RNA. RefSeq lists it as uncharacterized. The record is from RefSeq and is a predicted model, not a curated record. The transcript is spliced from 7 exons. Lineage: Eukaryota; Metazoa; Chordata; Crocodylia; Alligatoridae.
UGACUUGGGCGCUGGAGCCUUCCUCUGCCCUUUGUGACGUAGCGCUGGGGUCCGCUCCCUUGCUACUGUGCGGAGUGGGGGCGCUGCGGCGGGCACAGUUGGGCCGGGCUCUCCCUGCGCUCCCGCCACCCUUGCCUGGCCGGGGGACUGCAGUGCAAGCCCUGCUGCAGGCCAGGCCUGUUCUGAGGACGGUGUCAGGGCUGGGGGUUGAGGUCUUCCUGCCUGGCAUGCUGCUUGCUACGGAUGCUGCUGUGCUGCCUCACACCAGCCUCUGGGGCCAGGGUUUAGGGCCCAGAGAUCACCGCCCUUUUUACCCUUAAGGGUGCCCAUGCCCUCCUCUGCAUGAGGCUUGUGAAUCUGUGAGACCUUAGCCACAAGGCUCUCUACCACCUUAGGCUGGAAGUCACUCUCCUAGGACUAGGUCCCCACUUAAGACAUCAGCUCUUCGUUUUCUCCCCAUUUCUGUUGGGGGGAACAGCCGAGCCAUUCUUCUGUGGCAAAGAGCUCUGGAAACCCCCAGUGGGGCAGGGCAAUUUGAAUUUGGGAUUCCCAUGUGAUGUAUGCAAGAUGUACGCUUUUUCUAAUUCUAUCUAGCUAAAUGCAUGAAGCAGUUUGCUGACGCUGGGCAGGGUGUGGUGUAUGUAAGAUAAGAAGAGAUUGCUUGCUGAGAAAAGAUGCCACAUAGGCAAGUACGGGCAUGUUCUGUGGCUAAGGUAAUGUGCGCAUGGGCUAAAAGAAGCAACCAAUAGUAACUGCACAGCGUAUUGGGUGAGAGAAAACUAUAUAAGGCUAAUGCCAACUAGGUUGGGUGGGUGCUUGCUUUGCGAACCAUUGCCAAGUACCCCCUUUCUGCGCAGACUUGGAAUAAUAAAGAUUAAGUUGGAUCCUCCACCCCUGUGUGUUUAUUGGCAAAAGCGCACCGGGCACGAACUCACUGUCUUUGCAGACAACAAUUUGGCGACCCAGAUGGGACCUCACUAACCGCCUUGCCCGGUCCACCUCCUCGGCUCUGGCAACGGCUGCGGACGGCGCGAGGACCAGGCGCCACCGACCCUUUUCGUCUGAGGUCUGACCAUCUCCUGGUUGUUUGACGGGGCCAUGGAGGGGCACAACGGCGCAACGCUCGGAGGACCAACUUAAUCCGACGGGACGAGGGAAGUCUCAACGGACUGAUGAUCUUCUGCAUACAGCACUGAUGGUACUUCAACAACUUUAGAUGUCUCCUGUAUGUUGCCCAUGUCUCAGCUCUGUACAGCAAGCUGAGAUGCAAAGAAACCCAAUGAGGCAGAUUCUGCUCUUGUUUACACCAACACAUUGUUUGGAAUAACUCCACUGAAGAUAGAGCUGAAUCGUGUGGACUCACACUGGCAUGGCACUGGUCUAAUCCCAUCAACACUGAUCAAAUGGUCAAGCAUCAGCUGGAAGGAGUCCAACUCAUUGAUUUAUGCUGUUGAAUUUGGUCUGUAGAUAUGCUGGUCACAGGAUAGAGAAAAAAGAAGAUGAGCAUAUAUUGGGAUGUGGCUGUUUUAUGUUCCAGGUAAUGUUACAAUUUUUGCUUAAUUUAUCACACUUCUGGGUAUAGACUCUGAGCUUUAGAACAGUGGUGCUCAUCCUUCAGCCCGCGGGCCAAAUCUGACCCAUGAAGCCAUGUCCACCUUGUGAGGUUCCCCCUGGGUCCAGACAUUUGGUGGUGAGAGUGUGAAGGCAGACUUAAUUGCUGCUCCCCUGCUGCCAGGGGGCCAAAAGUUUGGGUACCACCAUUUUAAAUUAAGGCAUUUUUAAAUAAAUCAAAAUAAAGAAAUGCUAAAUUCCUUGCAGAAUAUUAUUUGGGAUUGAACUUUGUUUGCAGCUGAAGGCUGGACUAAAACCAUACCUGUGAACACACCCAAACUUGGAAAUGUUAGGGUCUGGAUGCAAACGUUUGUUUUGUUUAUUCACUAAUAUUUACUGGCAAGACACUUACUUUCUCAGCAGUCUGAAGCUUCUCUUGUAAAAAAACCCCACAAAAACACACAUAUUUUUACAUGGUGGUGAUGAAGAAGGCACAUUUUUAUGUGCAAUACUUUAGGGAAGAAACUUGAUGGCCUUAGAACACCCUAAUAUAACAGCUGUUUCAGCAGGUCAUGCUUAAACCUCACCUGUUGUGGUUGGUAGAGAUUGAACAUGCUAUGGUUGCAGAGAGAUGCUUGAGUUCUAGAGAGAAGCAUAGGGCCCAUUCAUUCUAUAGCUCAUUAGUGACCAACAUAUGGACAGCAUUACUGUUGAUGUUGGAAGAGGACAUAUGAUUGGCUAACAAAUAUGUAGUAAAGAGGUACAGUAAUGACCAUCUUGCAGAAGGGAUAAGCAGAUGGUGGUGGGAGUGGGGGGUGACCAUAGUGGUAAUGUAGGCUGAUAUUGCUGAUUCAUAGCCUCCCAUUAUGUUUUGUAAACUGCCAAGAGUUUUUCAUAAAAUAAAUAUCCAGAAGAGAUGACAACUUUGUCUCAUCAAAAUUGUCCAAUCAAAACAAAUUUACAGGAGCUUAUAUGUAAAUGGUAUUAAGAUUUUGGCACUUUACUAUGUUUCUAAUCAACCCAAUAACCUUGAAACCUCCUAUGAGCCAUUCUUUCAAUCUAUGUUUAUUUCAUGACAUUUAUUUCAUCCCAUUCUGCAAUUUCUUUGAAGUUUUACGUGAUAUCUUUAUAGGCUACAAUGACAGCUUGACACCUUUUCCUCACUGUAGACAAGUUAUAAUUUAACCAAGAGUAGGAUUCUGUACCACAUGUACCUUUUUAGUAGCCAGUAGAGAUUAACAGAACAAAGAGUUUAUUACUACUCCACUCAUUCCUUCAACAUGCCCUUGGAGGAUAUUCUGCACCCUGGAAUGCUGGUAAAAAAUCUUAACCCUUGGACGAGGGGUGUAGGGGUGGAUGUCCUCUUCCUGGACUUUAAGAAGGCCUUGAACACGAUUUCCCCCCACAUUCUCUUAAAAAAACAUGGUGACUGUGGUAUUGAUGCCUACACAGUCAAAUGGGUGGCAAAUUGGUUCGAUGGUCACACCCAGAGAGUGGUGGUGGAUGGGUCCUUUUCGACCUGGAGGGAUGUGGGCAGUGGAGUCCCCAAGGGCUCGGUCCUGGGGCCUGUACCAUUCAAUAUCUUUAUCAGCGAUCUGGAUGUAGGUGAGGAAAGCAUGCUGUCCAAAUUUGCUAACAACACCAAGAUGUGGAGUGAGCUGGGCACGCUGGAGGGGAGAGACAGAAUCCAGCUAGAUCUAGACAGAUUACAGAAGUGGGUGGAUGGGAAUAGGAUGGAAAUCAACACAGACAAGUGCAAGGUGCUGCUUCUAGGGAGAAGAAACCAGCAACACACCUAUAGGCUGGGGAAUACCCUUCUUGUCAACACAGUGGCAGAAAGGGAUCUUGGAGUCAUUGUGGACUCCAGGAUGAGCAUGAGCUGCCAAUGCAAGGAAGCAGUCAGUAAGGCUAGCCACAAAUUGUCUGCAUCUACAGAUGUAUCACAAGGAGGUCCAAGGAGGUGAUCCUUCCCCUCUAAGCGGCGUUGGUCAGGCCGCAGUUGGAGUACUGCGUCUAGUUCUAGGCGCUGCACUUCAAGAGGGAUGUGGCUAGCAUCGAGAGGGUCCAGAGGAGGGCCACUCACAUGGUUAGGGGACAGCAGGACAGGUCCUAUGAAGAGAGACUAAAGGGCCUGAACCUAUUCAGCCUCUGCAAGAGAAGGCUGAGAGGGGAUCUGGUGGCUGUUUACAAACUCACCAGGGCGGACCAGUGGAAAUUGGGGGAGGCUCUGUUCCCCCGGGCACCACCCGGGGUUACUAGGAAUAACGUCCACAAAUUGUUAGAGAGAAGGUUCAGGCUGGACAUCAGGAGACAUUACAGUUAGGGCUGCCAGGCUCUGGAAUGGGCUCCCGAGUGAGGUGGUGCUCUCUCCUACCUUGGGGGUCUUCAAGAGGAGGCUGGACAGAUAUUUGGCUAGGGUGAUAUGACCCUGGCAUCCAUUCCUGCCCAGGGCAGGGGUUGGACCUGAUGAUCUGUUUAGGUCCCUUCUGACCCUAAAUACUAUGAUCUUCCCCUCCAGCUUUCUGUGGAGAUCAAGGACAGAGCCCUGUGGAUACAUUCUCUUCUCCCUCUAUACAUUAUCUCUGGGUAAUCUUAUCUGCAAACACAAAUUCAACUUCCAUCUUUAUGCUGACAACUCACAGAUCUACUUGUCUCCUCCAGACAUCUCCUGCUGUCCUAACUUAAUAUUACCUCUCUUUGGGUCAUGUUUUUGGAAGGUGUGCCACAAAUUAAGCCUUGUACCCUCUCUGAGUGCCUGAUCUAGUGCUCCCCUUUCUGCUUGCUGCCCAGUACAGUACUCCCCACCCUAUCAGUGCAAGGAGCAGAAAGCAGAGCAGCAAUCUGCCACUGUGCUGCCUGUCCUCUCCCUAAUCUGCCACUUGCCACACACAGAACCUGCCUGUGCCACUUGCGGCACUGAUGCCACAGGUUGGCCGCCCCUUCUCUAGGUAGUCACACCUAUGCGGUGUCUAAAUCUUUCAAGCUCCUUCUGAAUUAGAUCUCAUUCCUAUCCAAAAGGAUAAAAUUUCCAUGCAGGCAAUCAUCUUACAUCUUGAUUGCUGCUAAAGUAUCCACUUUAAGUAGCCAUUAAAAUGAUUCUAAUGAGCAAAUAUAAUUUUGGUGUAAUUCAUUUAUCAAAUUAUUUUAUUUGUUAAUUUAUUUAUGCUGCAAAAGGAAAUAAUAACAUGGAGAGAAUUAGAUUAGAUAAGAAGCUUGUAGUUCAGCCUUGCACUUUAAAGGGAUUCCUUUAAUUGCAAUGAAGUCCAGAUUGACCUUGAAGACAGUCUUUGAGAGCCCUUUGACUUUAGAGGGGUUGGAAGUCAGUAACAUUUAGCCUUAUAUAUAUUUUUUUUUUUUGCUAUCCAAACAAGGAUUUUAGUUUGCCAAAGAAGAAAAAAAUACUACGUUUCAGAAGCUAUUACCACUAUAGAUUUUGCUCUUUUAAUAUUUUUCUCAGACAUGCUGCAGUCCAGGCAAUGUAAAUCAAUCCAAAACAGAGAAAUAAAGCAAUCAAAUUUUACAGGUGUAAUAUUUCAUUUUAAUUAACAGAGUUUGACUGUUAAUGAGUCACAGGCUGUUUUUAUACAUUUGUCAAGUUUUCAUGGAGAAAUAUAAAAUUUAAAGUACUUUUACUAUUAAUCUUAGGUUUAAUCAUAAUUAGAGUUUGCUAACAUAGUCAAAGAGUGACAUCAGAUCCAAAAAACAUGUACUUGGGGAACAAAUUUAGACAAAAUGAGAAAAAUGGGUUGUAAUAGCACAAUGACACUGUUUUUGAUGAGGAAACUUUUACAGCUUGAGUUGCUGUUGUAAGACUUAAAAAGUUUUUAUUUUCCAUUAUUAAAACCACUGGCUCAGUGAUGUUACUUAAUCAAACACUUUGUUACUGGAUAUGUAUAUAUGCUUUUGGUUAUUUCAGUCAUGCGUGUCUUUUUCAAUCUAAACUUUUGAGAGUACUAUUGUUCUGUGAUACUCACAAAUACCCCAAAUUACUGUAUUUUAAAAAGUGAACAGGAUAUCUAUAUUUAUAAAUAUAAUUACUUUUCUUACAGUCACAUGGUAGUGAGCAGCUGGGAAGAAAUGUUGCUGAUACUUUUCUAUCAGGUCAUCACCCUUAAAAUAAAUAUGUUGUUCCCUUUUGAUAUUAGAAAUAUGUUUGCCAAAGAAAAUAAGAUGGCUCUAGGUACCAGCCUUCUGGAAAAUUCUUGGCUAGUGUUUUAUUAAUUGUAUUAUUAAUUUAUUUCAGAUAGCGCUACCAUAGGAUCAGUAUUUUCCAAACAAAACAAUGGGUAGCUGGUACUUUUAUAAAUAAAAGGGACAUGCUUGAUCUGAGAGUAAAUGAGUUAAAAGGAACAGAGGAGCAAAUUAUUCCAUUUUCACAGUAGUAUAACAUUGGCUAGGCAAGUGGGGCAUGAAUCCUUGGCGCUGCCUAAUGGGGAAGGGUGCUGGAAUGGAGCUGGGGGGAGGAGGGAGGGGAGCCUCCUUGAAGUAGCUCUGGCUCCAGAAGCAGCAGUGGCACAUGAUGCCCUGGGUGGUGGCAGUGCACAGUGCAGGACCAGUGGCCAGAGGUUUGCUGUGCUGGGGGCAAAAUCACCUCCUUUUUUUGCCAUUGAAAAUUGUUGCUUAAAUGGCCACUUGUCACACAUGCCACUUUUUUUUGCCACUGACAUCUUCCUCCAUGGCAGUGAACUGGAGCUGAUGCUGCUUUAGGAAAGGGCAGGGUAUGGGAGAACUGGCCAGUUAUGCCUCUUCAUUUUCACUGUCACUUUUUAGAACAGAACUGUAUUUUAAGAGACAAAUCUGCUGUUGUUGUUGGCAGUCCCUCAACCCAAAGAUAGUCUGCUAGUAGAUAGGAAAAUCAUCAUUCAUUUCAGGGAUGACUGAAGAGGCCAGUCUGAGAUCUGUGCAUUUGACUGCAGUCAUGGCAUACAUUUCCAGAAGGAAGGAGUGGAUUCUGGUGAUGUCCGGUCACAGUUCUUUCCCUUUGCGUCUCUUGCUGACAUUCAUUUUUCUGUCCUUCCAGCUGAUAUGGAGGGAUUUUCUGAAGACAUCACUGAUGGUAAAAUUCCAAGUCUUUCAGGUGUUUCUGAUAAGUUGUCCAGGCAUCGUUUACUCAAUGACAACAGUCUGGUAGAUGAGAAAUUUGUUUUGGAUCCUGAUGUCAUGAUCAUCAAAGAGAUGAUUUCUGAGAUGUCCAAAGGCAGCACUGGCAGAUUUUAUUCAGUGUUGAAUAUUAUCUAUGUUUACCUUUUUGGGAAAGGUGACUACCCAGGUAGGAGAGAUGCUCAACAUUCUCCAAGGACUGCCCUCUAAGUGUAAUAUGUGGGCAACAGCUGAAUGGUUUGUGGUAGGUUGAUAAAGUACCUUCGUUUUACAUGAAGUUGAUGGUGAGUCCAAGUAUUUCAUAUGCUUUACAGAAGUGGUCAAACGUGACCUGGAUCUCUUCAAUUGAAUAGGUACACACAACACAGUCAUCAGUUUACUGAAGAUCAGUAAAGGAGGAGUUGGUUAGCUUGGAUUUGGAGCCUAACUGGUUGAUGUUAAAGAGAUUCCCUUCCCUGCAAUACAGGAUGCUGACUCCAAAGGGAAGCUGUUAGCAAUACGAUGUGGAAUAGCUGCAAUAUAGAUGGAAAAAAGCAUUGAUGUAAUCACACAUCCUUGCUUGGUGCUAGUUCUAAUGGUGAAAGGGGUCUAUUUCUGAGCCAUUGCUUAGGACAGUUGCUGUCAUGUCACCAUAAAGAAGUCUGAGGAUGGUAACAAAUUUUGGUAGGCAUCCAAAUCUCAUUAGGAUCUUCCAUAAUGCCUCUCUGUUGAUUGAAUCAAAGGCCUUAGUCAAGUCAAUGAAGGCUGUGUAAAGAACACUGUUGCCCAUGGCACUUUUCUUGCAGCUAUAUAGCCACAAAGAUCAUAACCAUCGUCUUCUGAAUGGCCUGAAACCAUAUUGUAACACAGGUAGAAUUUCCUUGGCAAGGGGAGUAAGUCUACUGAGGAGAAUGUGGGCAAGGAUCUUCCCAGCUAUAGACAGAAGUGCAAUGUCACAGUAAUUGCUGCAAUCCAGUUUAUCACUUUUUUUUUAAAUAUGGUUAUGAUACUGGCAUCUCUCAAGUCACUGAGAAUCUGUUGAUGGUUUACAGAGUAAUGGUAAGUAGUUGAUGAGAGAGCUUUUUUCUACCACGCUUAUACAUUUCAGCUGGUAAUCCAUUAGGAGCAUGUUUUGUUGUUUUUCAUCAUCUCAAGGUUGGUGGAUCUGCAAAGUAGUCUUUAAUGGGGUGUUGUGGAAUGGCCUUGCUGGAGCAUGGCUUGCUAUGGCCACUGAUUAGUACAUGUAGAAAUGGUACAGAGGUCUGAUAACACCAUGAACCAACGUAAGUUUCAGUAAUAGUUUGAACCAGAGACCUUGGUGUCUGGACAGCUGAGCACAUAUGGCCUAACUGGAAACACUGAGAAAAUUAGGAGUAUUAAUUUAUAGGCCCCUCAGCUGGCCAAUAGAUGAAACACAAGGGAUAAGAUGGGAAAUCAUCAUUGGCAUCCAUUGGCCUUGGGAGACCAUGGGGAUUGCACAUUUGGUAGGAUACCAAGUACCACCACAGUUUCUUGAGUGGCUGAGGAGUCCAGCGCACAGUAGGCAGACCAUCUGACAAGUUGCACAUACAAACUUGGUUGAGCUUGCACUGGCAUGCUGAGUACUGUUUUGUCUUGCCUGCCUCUGACGUCUCUUCUCUAGCUCCUCAUUGACCCCUCCAUCGUGAAGCAAUGUAAGCUCUGUUUCACGGUGGCUUUCCACUCGCAGCAGUCUGAACUCAGUUGGAGCAUGGCCAUCGAUGCACGCUCAUGCAGGUUUUUCUUGCAGACAUCAAUGAAACGGAGUUUGGGCCAUCCAAGUUCACAUUUGCCAGUGACCAGCUCACCGUAGAGAAUGUCCUUGGGGAUUCAUCUAUUGUUUAUACGGUUCACGUGUCCUAACCAAUGAAGGCAUCUCUGUCUCAGGAGCAUGAACAUAUGGGAUAUCUUGGCCCAUUCCAGAACAGCAAAGUUGGAGAUUUUGUCACACCAUGUUAUUCCCAGGAUACAGCUGACCCAUCAAAGAUGGAAACUGUUCAGUUUCUUUCUUCCAUAGCAUAAGGAGUUGUUGUUUCACUGCCAUACAAUAUAGAGCUAAGUAUGCAAGCACUGUCAAUGGACAUCUUUGUUGACAGAGUGAGCACUCUGUUUUUCCAAACUCUCUUUUGAAGUUUAGCCAUGGCAUUGCUUGCCUUUCUGAUGUGAGCAUUAAUUUCUGCUUCCAAGACAAGACUUUGCAAGAUGGUGGAGCCCAAGUAAGUUAAUUUUUCAACUACUUCCAGGCUUUCAUCAUUUAUUCUAACUUUGAGAGGGUGGUCAACUUGUUGUUAGCCUAAAGAAGAAUAGUCAUGGGUUAAUCAGACCGAAACCAUCACAAAUACAAGAAAGCCGAUCCAUAAGACUUUGCAGUCCUUCAUCUGAAUGACUUACAAUUGCUGCAUCAUCGGCAAACAGGUUUUUGUUUUCACUUUGGGAUGAGGUGAAGUUAAAGAGUUUCCCAUCGGAUCUGGUCUGAAGCUAUACUGCUUCUGAAUAGUGACUGAAUGCAUAUGGACAGUGAAGAAAAUCCCCAAAAACCAUCAGAGCCAGGACACAGCUCUGCUUCAGACUACUCUUGAUUUCAAAUUCUUCCAAAUAUGACCCAUCAAACUGCACUGUUCCACACAUAGCAUCGUGAUGAUAAGAUGGGUACAGGAUACCAAAACAGAGCUAACUGGUAGAAAAGUUGCAAUAUGUAAUGACUGUGAAUGUCACCUAAACACAUUUAGUGAUUGGUGGAACUAGGAGGUAUAUGUUGUAAGUAUAAAGUUAUUUUGAUCAAUGUUUAAAAGGGGCCUGGGAAACCUGAAUAUUUUGCACUGAGCUAGGGACCAUAUUUUAUACCGGUGCCUUGCCUUACACAUGAACUUUGCUGGGGCCAUGCCUGAAUGAGUGUGAUGUUAGUGUUUGGUAGUUUGUGAACAAUAAGCCCAGAGCCUGUGGUCUCUAUUGCGGCUAACAAGGGCAUUGAAGUAGUAGCAACCUAGUAUCCCCAACAGUAUCCUGAAGGAGUCCUAGCUGACCAUCCCAACUGAUGAAGCUUGAUAUAACCAGUACAACACCAUCCUGACUGUACCUGAUAAGAAUCAGAUUGUGAACCAAAAUAUCCUCUUCAUCUUUACCUUCUUUUACAUUUAAAUCAUGCCAUUUAGCUACUCCUCUGUGUAAGGGGGUUAGUAUAGAGCCAAAAUGGUCACAGGGGCUCACUGGAAGCUUAGUGCCUCUGUAACAUAAUGUUUCCAUGACUUAUUCUGCAUACAGAAAUAUCUGACCAGCUACUAAUACUCAUUGGCAGGAUUCAGUGCCAAUUAGGGAGGUUUACUGAGCAGUAAGCAUGUGUGCAUGUGGACGCACAUGCUUACUUUGCAGUAAACUAUGCUAAUGCAAAGUUAAACGUCUUGUGUAGAUGUGCCCAGUGUCUUGCUCACUGGACUCUGUUGCUUUAGGCUAGCAGGGAGCAGAAUACACCCUUUUCAUAAUUUUACAUUAUGCUUCAGAAAGACACAGGCUGACUUUGAGCAGUCUGGGUCAGCCAAUCAGGGCUGCUUCAUGUACUGCUGCUCUCUGUCUCCAGGCAGACUGAGGGAGUCUGCAGAGUAUACUGAGAUGUGCGCACAAGAAACCCCUGGUGGAGCAGCAUCAGCACUGCAAGCUUUCUGCUCUUCAAGGAUUCAACAUUUGAAUGUCUGUUCAGGUGUCUCCAGGAAUGUGGGGAAAACUGAUUGGUUGGCUACAAGUACAGUAUUCCCUGGAACAGCUGCUUCGCUUCAGACCCAGCGGUGACGAAGAAGCAAUCUGUGACUGCCCGAUCGCAAAAAUCACUGAACACCAACCUACAACACACCCGGGUCGACGCCACAAUGGCCGCCUGCUCAUAUGUCGCAAGCAGGGUCGUCGCUCUAUUCCUGCUGUUACCAACAGGUUCCUCGGCGAACGGAGCUAACUUCAAAACCUCCAACUUGAUCGUGAACCUUCUGUCAUUUUAGGCCAAAGACAUAACUAACGACUCAUUUUAUGGUUUUUCUUUUCCUGUUAAUGAUUUUGUACAUAUUUGUUUUGUUUUGUUUUAAAGCCUGUUCAAGACUUUACGCAGUGAAGCCAAGUCAUAAUGUUUUGAAUAAAAAGCUCUAAAUUAUUAAAAAAGAA